This 782-nucleotide ribosomal RNA is filed under the name Cacatua goffiniana (Tanimbar cockatoo). RNAcentral's name for it is "partial 16S ribosomal RNA". The stretch from base 417 to 637 matches the Rfam family "Bacterial large subunit ribosomal RNA", at positions 1692 to 2034 of the family's 2925-position model. The record is from RNAcentral. Lineage: Eukaryota; Metazoa; Chordata; Aves; Psittaciformes; Cacatuidae.
CUAGCCCGCAAAUGAGUCUUAGUUCUUCCUUAACCCCUCCCCCAGGACAACAAACCCAAACCCCCAUGCAGUGAGUUAAGAGCUAUCUAAAGGGGGUACAGCCCCUUUAAAAAGGACACACCCUCCACUAGCGGAUAACCCCUCCCCACCCUGACCCCGUAGGCCUUAAAGCAGCCACCCCCAAAGAGUGCGUCAAAGCUCUCAAUCAAAAAUACAAAAGCAACGCGAUUCCCUACACCUUUAGCUGGCUAACCUAUAACAAUAGAUGAAUCAAUGCUAGAACGAGUAACCAGGAUACCCUCCCCUCAAGCGCUAGCUUAUAUACCAUUAACAGCCCACCAUCAAUGCUUAGCCCCAACCCAAGACCAAACAUUGAGCAUACCCUGUUAACCCAACCCAGGAGCGCACACUAGGACGAUUAAAACCUACAAAAGGAACUCGGCAAACCCAAGACCCGACUGUUUACCAAAAACAUAGCCUUCAGCUAAACAAGUAUUGAAGGUGAUGCCUGCCCAGUGACACCACGUUCAACGGCCGCGGUAUCCUAACCGUGCAAAGGUAGCGCAAUCAAUUGUCCCAUAAAUCGAGACUUGUAUGAACGGCUAAACGAGGUCUUAACUGUCUCCUGUAGAUAAUCAGUGAAACUGAUCUCCCCGUGCAAAAGCGGGGAUAGACACACAAGACGAGAAGACCCUGUGGAACUUUAAAAUCAAUAGCCACUACACACCAACCCAAAGCCCACUCGGCCUCACCUCCCACAACACUGGCUAAUAUUUUUAGAU